RNAcentral lists this unclassified non-coding RNA (279 nucleotides) under Leishmania donovani. RNAcentral describes it as "gene:unknown". The record is from RNAcentral. Lineage: Eukaryota; Euglenozoa; Kinetoplastea; Trypanosomatida; Trypanosomatidae.
CCAGCGGGCCCUUGGCCGCUGGGGGGAGGGACACCCUUUGGCAGCCGCCACCGCCCCCCCCCUUCUCACCAGAAGAACGCCACCAACACCCGUCAUGCGCCCAAGGGCCGGCGCGGAGCCUGCCGCAAGCAGCCCAAAGAGCGUUUCAGUUAAACCUUUACUCCUACUCUGAAGGGCAGUGAUGGAAAAAGACCAAAACAAACGCAUUUCGGCCGAAGGACGAAAGCGCAGCACCGCACUCCCCACCCAGCUGGAAGCAUACGGUGGCCUCAGUUCUUC